UGGGGAAUAUUGGACAAUGGGGGGAACCCUGAUCCAGCCAUGCCGCGUGUGUGAAGAAGGCCUUAUGGUUGUAAAGCACUUUAAGAGAGGAGGAGGGUACUGGUAUUAAUACUACCAGGUACUGGACGUUACUGGCAGAAUAAGCACCGGCUAACUCUGUGCCAGCAGCCGCGGUAAUACAGAGGGUGCGAGCGUUAAUAGGAUUUACUGGGCGUAAAGCGUGCGUAGGCGGCUAAUUGAGUCGGAUGUGAAAUCCCCGAGCUUAACUUGGGAAUUGCAUUCGAUACUGGUUAGCUAGAGUGUGGGAGAGGAUGGUAGAAUUCCAGGUGUAGCGGUGAAAUGCGUAGAGAUCUGGAGGAAUACAGAUGGCGAAGGCAGCCAUCUGGCCUAACACUGACGCUGAGGUACGAAAGCAUGGGGAGCAAACAGG
This 430-nucleotide ribosomal RNA is filed under the name Pseudomonadota bacterium. RNAcentral's name for it is "Proteobacteria bacterium partial 16S ribosomal RNA". It matches the Rfam family "Bacterial small subunit ribosomal RNA", at positions 355 to 776 of the family's 1533-position model. Lineage: Bacteria; Pseudomonadati; Pseudomonadota. The record is from RNAcentral.